This 24-nucleotide non-coding RNA is filed under the name Cricetulus griseus (Chinese hamster). The record is from RNAcentral. Lineage: Eukaryota; Metazoa; Chordata; Mammalia; Rodentia; Cricetidae.
ACAUGUAGAAUCACUUUUGAUUUC